This 460-nucleotide ribosomal RNA is filed under the name uncultured bacterium. Its description in RNAcentral is "partial 16S ribosomal RNA". It matches the Rfam family "Bacterial small subunit ribosomal RNA", at positions 338 to 795 of the family's 1533-position model. The record is from RNAcentral.
CCUACGGGUGGCAGCAGUGAGGAAUAUUGGUCAAUGGGCGCGAGCCUGAACCAGCCAAGUAGCGUGAAGGAUGACUGCCCUAUGGGUUGUAAACUUCUUUUAUAAAGGAAUAAAGUGAGGCCCGUGUGCCCUUUUGUAUGUACUUUAUGAAUAAGGAUCGGUUAACUCCGUGCCACCAGCCGCGGUAAUACGGAGGAUCCGAGCGUUAUCCGGAUUUAUUGGGGUGAAAGGGAGCGUAGGUGGGUUGUUAAGUCAGUUGUGAAAGUUUGCGGGUCAACCCUAAAAUUGCAAUUGAUACUGGCAGCCUUGAGUACAGUUGAGGUAGGCGGAAUUCGUGGUGUAGCGGUGAAAUGCUUAGAUAUCACGAAGAACUCCGAUUGCGAAGGCAGCCUACUAGACUGCCACUGACAUUGAUGCUCGAAAGUGUGGGUAUCGAACAGGAUUAGAUACCCGAGUAGUC